Non-coding RNA from Stereum hirsutum FP-91666 SS1, 101 nucleotides. The record is from the annotation of a RefSeq genome assembly. NCBI's taxonomy places the organism in Eukaryota, Fungi, Basidiomycota, Agaricomycetes, Russulales, Stereaceae.
CCUCCAGUAGCUCAGCGGUAAAGCAGGGAGGAAAGAUGACUGACAAGUCGACAUUCGACGAGGAUAUCUCCCCGUCGCUGGUUCGAUUCCAGCCUGGAGGU